UUGGUUGAUCCUGCCAGUAGUGUAUGCUUCUCCUAAAGACUAAGCCAUGCAUGCCCUGAAUAAGAGGAAGCAAUUCUCUCUGAAUCUGCGAACGGCUCCGCAAACCAGUUGUAAACUAGAGCAAGCAAGCCUGGCGGGCUUCGGCCUCCAGGUGAUAUGGAUAACCCUGGUAAUUCUGAGGCUAAUACAUGACCGCAAAACCGGGCAGCCCAGCAAUGGAUGCUCGGGGAUGUGCGAUAUGGCUUGACAAUAACCGGGAAAGGACGCACACUCAGACCGCGCUAAAAAGGAUCGGGACUCUCUUCGGAGAACCUGGCCCCUGCGGCUCUUGCUGUGUGCUUCUGACCUAUCAACUAGACGGCAGCGUAAUGGACAUGCUAUGGUGACAACGGGUACAGAGGAUUAGGGUUCGAUCCUGGAGAGUGGGCCUGAGAGAUUGCUCAU
Molecule: ribosomal RNA, 444 nt
Filed under: Lamproderma pulveratum
Lineage: Eukaryota; Evosea; Eumycetozoa; Stemonitida; Stemonitidae
Description: SSU rRNA
Rfam family: Eukaryotic small subunit ribosomal RNA
Source: RNAcentral